RNAcentral lists this transfer RNA (77 nucleotides) under Pseudoflavonifractor capillosus. RNAcentral describes it as "tRNA-Arg". It matches the Rfam family "tRNA". Rfam says of the family: Transfer RNA (tRNA) molecules are approximately 80 nucleotides in length. RNAcentral also lists the same sequence under 10 other names. The record is from RNAcentral. Lineage: Bacteria; Bacillati; Bacillota; Clostridia; Eubacteriales; Oscillospiraceae.
GCGGCUGUAGCUCAGCUGGAUAGAGUGUUUGGCUACGAACCAAAAGGUCGGGGGUUCGAAUCCCUCCAGCCGUACCA